This 448-nucleotide ribosomal RNA is filed under the name uncultured Planctomycetota bacterium. RNAcentral describes it as "bacterial SSU rRNA". It matches the Rfam family "Bacterial small subunit ribosomal RNA", at positions 217 to 656 of the family's 1533-position model. The record is from RNAcentral. Lineage: Bacteria; Pseudomonadati; Planctomycetota.
GCUUAGAGAGGGGUCAAUGUCCUAUCAGCUAGUUGGUAGGGUAACGGCCUACCAAGGCGAAGACGGGUAGCAGGCCUGAGAGGGUGGUCGGCCACACUGGGACUGAGACACUGCCCAGACUCCUACGGGAGGCUGCAGUCGAGAAUCUUUCGCAAUGCCCGAAAGGGUGACGAAGCGACGCCGCGUGUGGGAAGAAGGCCUUCGGGUUGUAAACCACUGUCGGGAGUUAGGAAAUGUAAGGGUGCUAAUAGUAUCCUUACUUGACUAAGGCUCCGGAGGAAGCCACGGCUAACUCUGUGCCAGCAGCCGCGGUAAUACAGAGGCGGCAAGCGUUGUUCGGAAUUAUUGGGCGUAAAGAGCACGUAGGCGGCUUUGUAAGUCAGCUGUGAAAGCCUUCUGCUUAACGGAAGAACAGCAUCUGAUACUGCAAGGCUAGAGUGCGGAAGGG